This 520-nucleotide ribosomal RNA is filed under the name uncultured Glomus. RNAcentral's name for it is "SSU rRNA". It matches the Rfam family "Eukaryotic small subunit ribosomal RNA", at positions 569 to 1088 of the family's 1831-position model. Lineage: Eukaryota; Fungi; Glomeromycota; Glomeromycetes; Glomerales; Glomeraceae. The record is from RNAcentral.
AGCAGCCGCGGUAAUUCCAGCUCCAAUAGCGUAUAUUAAAGUUGCUGCAGUUAAAAAGCUCGUAGUUGAAUUUCGGGACCAAUCUGCCGGUCGUGCCUUUGGCACGCACUGGUUUUAUUGGUUUCUCCCUUCUGACGAACCAUAAUGUCAUUAAUUUGGUGUCAUGGGGGAAUCAGGACUGUUACUUUGAAAAAAUUAGAGUGUUUAAAGCAGGCUCACGCUUGAAUACAUUAGCAUGGAAUAAUGAAAUAGGACGUUUGACCCUAUUUUGUUGGUUUCUAGGAUCGACGUAAUGAUUAAUAGGGAUAGUUGGGGGGCAUUAGUAUUCAAUUGUCAGAGGUGAAAUUCUUGGAUUUAUUGAAGACUAACUACUGCGAAAGCAUUUGCCAAGGAUGUUUUCAUUAAUCAAGAACGAAAGUUAGGGGAUCGAAGACGAUCAGAUACCGUCGUAGUCUUAACCAUAAACUAUGCCGACUAGGGAUCGGAUGAUGUUAAUUUUUUAAUGACUCAUUCGGCGCCU